This 200-nucleotide ribosomal RNA is filed under the name uncultured bacterium. RNAcentral describes it as "partial 16S ribosomal RNA". It matches the Rfam family "Bacterial small subunit ribosomal RNA", at positions 8 to 205 of the family's 1533-position model. The record is from RNAcentral.
AGAGUUUGAUCCUGGCUCAGAGCGAACGUUAGCGGCAGGCCUAACACAUGCAAGUCGCACGAGAAUCUGGCUUCGGCCAGUAGUAAAGUGGCGGACGGGUGAGUAACACGUGGAUAAUCUGCCCUUCGGCGGGGGACAACAGUCCGAAAGGAUUGCUAAUACCGCAUACGUCAGCGAGCUCUUCGGAGCUUGUUGGGAAA